GGACUCUGAUAUCUUCUAAUAAUAAUUGAGCCUUCAAUUAUUAUUGUAUUCAUUCAAUUCAAUUAUUAUAUGGUUCUCAGUUCCCCAAGGCCAAGAAGAUUUCCAGGUUGGCGUCGUUAAUCAGGAAUAGGGACUACCACAUGCAGUGCAAUGAACAGCCAUGUCGAGAAAAGAACAAAUUGUGUCCAAAUAGGCCCUCAGAGCUUUCAGAAUCUGAAGGAGGUGACUGCAGGUCCCCAGGAGGGGUGAGGAAGAUAGAUGGAUGAAAAAGUUCUGGAGAUUGAAUGCACAACAAUGUGAAUGUACUUUACUGAACUGUACACUUAAAAAUGGUUACAUUGAUAAAUUUUAUGGUAAGUGUAUUUUCACCUCAUUUAAACAUUUUU
Long non-coding RNA from Piliocolobus tephrosceles (Ugandan red Colobus), 386 nucleotides. RefSeq lists it as uncharacterized. The transcript is spliced from 3 exons. The record is from RefSeq and is a predicted model, not a curated record. NCBI's taxonomy places the organism in Eukaryota, Metazoa, Chordata, Mammalia, Primates, Cercopithecidae.